UACGUAGGUGGCAAGCGUUGUCCGGAUUUACUGGGCGUAAAGGGCGCGUAGGCGGCCCGCUAAGUCGAACGUGAAAUCCCCAGGCUUAACCUGGGAACUGCGUCCGAUACUGGCAGGCUUGAAUCCGGGAGAGGGAUGUGGAAUUCCAGGUGUAGCGGUGAAAUGCGUAGAUAUCUGGAGGAACACCGGUGGCGAAGGCGGCAUCCUGGACCGGCAUUGACGCUGAGGCGCGAAAGCUAGGGGAGCAAACGGG
This 253-nucleotide ribosomal RNA is filed under the name uncultured bacterium. RNAcentral describes it as "partial 16S ribosomal RNA". It matches the Rfam family "Bacterial small subunit ribosomal RNA", at positions 524 to 776 of the family's 1533-position model. The record is from RNAcentral.